This 108-nucleotide non-coding RNA is filed under the name Hofstenia miamia. Its description in RNAcentral is "U4atac minor spliceosomal RNA". It matches the Rfam family "U4atac minor spliceosomal RNA". From Rfam's summary of the family: U4atac is an essential component of the minor U12-type spliceosome complex which is required for removal of the rarer class of eukaryotic introns (AT-AC, U12-type). These interacting stem loops have been shown to be required for in vivo splicing. Lineage: Eukaryota; Metazoa; Xenacoelomorpha; Acoela; Hofsteniidae. The record is from RNAcentral.
ACCAUCCUUAUCUCGGGGAGCAUAAUGCAUCAAUGAAGGCUACUGAGAUCAUUUUGCUGACACCUUGUAUAUUAAAAUCUCACCGCUUUAGGUGAAAUAUUUGGAAGC